UCAGGCCUAACACAUGCAAGUCGAGCGCCCGGAUUUAUCCGGGAGCGGCGCACGGGUGAGUAACGCGUGGGAACAUGCCCUGAAGUACGGAACAACCUGGGGAAACCUUGGCUAAUACCGUAUACGCCCUGAGGGGGAAAGAUUUAUCGCUUUGGGAUUGGCCCGCGUUGGAUUAGCUAGUUGGUGUGGUAACGGCGCACCAAGGCGACGAUCCAUAACUGGUCUGAGAGGAUGACCAGUCACACUGGGACUGAGACACGGCCCAGACUCCUACGGGAGGCAGCAGUGGGGAAUAU
Molecule: ribosomal RNA, 296 nt
Filed under: uncultured bacterium
Lineage: Bacteria
Description: partial 16S ribosomal RNA
Rfam family: Bacterial small subunit ribosomal RNA
Source: RNAcentral